Molecule: non-coding RNA, 256 nt
Filed under: Nicotiana attenuata
Lineage: Eukaryota; Viridiplantae; Streptophyta; Magnoliopsida; Solanales; Solanaceae
Source: RNAcentral
GCCGGGCUUGGUAACGUGAGCUUGUAACCCAAGUGGGGGCGAUAAAGUGGUGGAAUAUUGGGUUGACCCAGAAGGCAGGACUUUGUGGGCUAAUCUCUGGCCUGCCCUGUCCAAGCAUGGAGUUGGGCUUCGUAGUCCAAGUGAAAAUUUGUUUAUUGAUGAUAUCUUGAUCUACUCCCGCAGCCGAGAGGAGCAUGAGCAGUACCUUCGGAUCGUUCUUCAGACUCUGAGAGAGAGCCAAUUAUAUGUUGUUUUC